AGAAGCUCGAUUCUACAGGUU
RNAcentral lists this microRNA (21 nucleotides) under Lingula anatina. RNAcentral describes it as "Lan-Mir-10-P4d_3p (mature (guide))". The record is from RNAcentral. Lineage: Eukaryota; Metazoa; Brachiopoda; Lingulata; Lingulida; Lingulidae.